RNAcentral lists this unclassified non-coding RNA (326 nucleotides) under fungal sp. RNAcentral's name for it is "partial internal transcribed spacer region". The stretch from base 1 to 46 matches the Rfam family "Eukaryotic small subunit ribosomal RNA", at positions 1786 to 1831 of the family's 1831-position model. Lineage: Eukaryota; Fungi. The record is from RNAcentral.
AAGUCGUAACAAGGUAACCGUAGGUGAACCUGCGGUUGGAUCAUUAAUGAAUUAAAAAAAAAGGGAGAAAUUUCUGUCAAGGAAAGUUCUCUUUUUUUAAGAAAGAGUAUUAGGCUUUUGGCCUUUUACUUGAACCCAUUUGUGAAUUGUUUAUUGUCCAUUGGUCAAAAAGACAACAUGGUGUUUGGACUUUUUUUCUUUUAAUAGAAAAAACCCAAAGACUCAUUUCAUUUUUUUGACCAGUCAAGUAGAAACUUAGUCUUUAUGGAGUUAUCAUUUAAAUAAAAAAAAUGAAACAACUUUUGACAACGGAUCUCUUGGCUCUC